AUACGGAGGGUGCAAGCGUUAUUCGGAAUCACUGGGCGUAAAGGGCGCGUAGGCGGGUUGGCAAGUCAGAUGUGAAAUCCUACAGCUUAACUGUAGAACUGCAUUUGAAACUGCUAACCUAGAGUAUGGGAGGGGGAGAUGGAAUUAGUGGUGUAGGGGGAAAAUCCGUAGAUAUCACUAGGAAUACCGAAAGCGAAGGCGAUCUCCUGGAACAUAACUGACGCUAAGGCGUGAAAGCGUGGGGAGCAAACAGGAUUAGAAACCCUAGUAGUCC
RNAcentral lists this ribosomal RNA (274 nucleotides) under uncultured bacterium. RNAcentral's name for it is "partial 16S ribosomal RNA". It matches the Rfam family "Bacterial small subunit ribosomal RNA", at positions 523 to 796 of the family's 1533-position model. The record is from RNAcentral.